CCUUCGGGUUGUAAAGCACUUUUAUCGGGAGCGAAAUACCAUUGGCUAAUAACCGAUGGGGCUGACGGUACCCGAGGAAUAAGCACCGGCUAACUUCGUGCCAGCAGCCGCGGUAAUACGAAGGGUGCAAGCGUUAAUCGGAAUUACUGGGCGUAAAGGGUGCGUAGGCGGUUAGUUAAGUCUGUUGUGAAAUCCCCGGGCUCAACCUGGGAAUGGCAAUGGAUACUGGCUAGCUAGAGUGUGUCAGAGGAUGGUGGAAUUUCCGGUGUAGCGGUGAAAUGCGUAGAGAUCGGAAGGAACAUCAGUGGCGAAGGCGGCCAUCUGGGACAACACUGACGCUGAAGCACGAAAGCGUGGGGAGCAGACAGGAUUAGAUACCCUGGUAGUCCACGCCCUAAACGAUGCGAACUGGAUGUUGGUCUCAACUCGGAGAUCAGUGUCGAAGCUAACGCGUUAAGUUCGCCGCCUGGGGAGUACGGUCGCAAGACUGAAACUCAAAGGAAUUGACGGAAUCGAAUU
RNAcentral lists this ribosomal RNA (519 nucleotides) under uncultured bacterium. RNAcentral's name for it is "bacterial SSU rRNA". It matches the Rfam family "Bacterial small subunit ribosomal RNA", at positions 415 to 925 of the family's 1533-position model. The record is from RNAcentral.